Molecule: long non-coding RNA, 483 nt
Organism: Herpailurus yagouaroundi (jaguarundi)
Lineage: Eukaryota; Metazoa; Chordata; Mammalia; Carnivora; Felidae
Exons: 5
Source: RefSeq, a predicted model, not a curated record
CUUUGCAUUGGUAAGGGAAAGAAUACUUUCAUGCCUUCAUGGUUCUUGCGCUUUUUGUGUCUCACCAAAAUCAAGACUCAGGUCAUGUGCACGUUUAUCAAGAAAAUACCUUUUUUCUCCAGAAAAUAAAAACGCCCUGGAAGACAAGUGUGAUGCAUUGAGGUCCGUGAAAGCCACAAAGGAAGCAAAAGUCAAACAGCUGAAGGAGAAAGCAUAUAACCUGGAAGAAUUCUAUGAACAAAGAAAAGUGCCUACAAAAAAGAAGCUGAAAAUGACACUGUGAACUGGCGGCAAAGAAGAAUCAGCUGGCAGCUGCAGGCAACAAAUGGAACAAACACGGGAACAGCUGCAGCAGGCAGAGCUCACCUUUAGAUACCAGCUCGCAGUUCAUGAGAAGAAUGCUCAGGACAACUAGAUCAAGACUCAGAUCUGGGACAGGGAGAUGGCGGAGCAGGGCACGGAGGUCGCUUACUUGAAAUACAG